ACUGUGUUAAAUGUUUUGAGAGCAGUAACCUGAGAAAUGUUGGAUAGAGGGAUCAGCCAAUAAUUUAAGCAUCAGCAGAAGAAUUUGCACGUGUACGCCUCGGAGCAGUUGGUUUAAUAGUUUUCAAGACAUCAGGCACCUUUCGUGAAUUACGAACGCUAUAAUGAAUAGAGAGGAUGUGGAGAGAUGUUUAUGAACAUGCCCUGGACCUCUUCUAUCAGAUCUUCACUUCAUCAGAUCUUCACUUCAUCGGAAGAGCAGGGAACACUGAAUCCAGACAAUGAAGUCCAUCUUUUCGCUCUGCACAAGAUCUUCCUUCCACUGACAAAGCCUUGACUCUUUCCGAGAUGCUUGGAACUUCCAUGGUCUUAGAACUGAAAGGAAUCAGUCCCCACAGCAACUCUGGAGAAGUUACAGAGAGCCAGGCCCUGAGGAGGAUCCUACUGAGGUUCCUGAGGUGUAUGGGAUUGACUGUAACGGACCUCACGGCCUUCAUAGAGGGACUGUGUCAGUCCCCGAGGUUCAGCUGGCCCGUGAGCUCUCAGAUGAAGAGGUUGCAGUUUUGCCAGCUCCAGGAGUUUCUGUUACUGAUGCACUUAGACUAUAUGUAGAGACUGUGGAAGUGUUAUCAAGAAUCUUAGCAGACUGAUGUCCAACCCAUGUUUUUUAUUUGUUGUGUUAGAACAAGCAAGGACAAACUGAAAAAGUUUACUUUCCUUAAAAAAAAAAGAAGAAAAAAGCUUCUGAAGCUUCCUGUCUCAUUAUGGUCCACAGAAUGACUAACAUGAAUGCUGUACUGUUAGCACUGAAGGUGCAGAACUGUUGGAUUUCAGUAAAUGGAAAAAAUAUGUAGAAUAAAAAAAUUGUCAAC
Molecule: long non-coding RNA, 871 nt
Organism: Esox lucius (northern pike)
Lineage: Eukaryota; Metazoa; Chordata; Actinopteri; Esociformes; Esocidae
Exons: 3
Source: RefSeq, a predicted model, not a curated record